This 253-nucleotide ribosomal RNA is filed under the name uncultured bacterium. Its description in RNAcentral is "partial 16S ribosomal RNA". It matches the Rfam family "Bacterial small subunit ribosomal RNA", at positions 524 to 776 of the family's 1533-position model. The record is from RNAcentral.
UACGUAGGUCCCGAGCGUUAUCCGGAUUUACUGGGUGUAAAGGGAGCGUAGACGGCAAUACAAGUCGGAAGUGAAAUACCCGGGCUUAACCUGGGAACUGCUUUGGAAACUGUAUGGCUGGAGUGCUGGAGAGGUAAGCGGAAUUCCUAGUGUAGCGGUGAAAUGCGUAGAUAUUAGGAGGAACACCAGUGGUGAAGGCGGCUUACUGGACAGUAACUGACGUUGAGGCUCGAAAGCGUGGGGAGCAAACAGG